AUGGGCAAAACAUCUGCUUCUGGUGUUGUUCAGGAGAAUGAAAAAGUUGGGAAUGGUUCACCCUCUUCUCCUACCAAGGGGAAAAGGGGAAGGAAAGGGUCCCAGAUUAUAGCAAAUAAAAAGUAUCCCCUGAGAUCUGCACAUAGUAGUACCAGGGUGCUUCGAUCUACUUCAAAAGACAAGAGUAAGACGCCUAAUGAGCCAGUAAGUCCAUUGAGAUCCGCUCAUAGUAGUCCCAGGGUUCUUCGAUCUACCCCUAAAAACAAGAGCAAGACACCUAAAAAGCAAGUAAAUUCAUUGAGGUCCGCACAUAGUAGUGCCAGGGUGCUUAGCUCUACCUUGAAGAAAAAGGUACCUAAUGAGCCAGUAAACGACAGUACUGCUGCUCAACCAGCUGCCAGGAAAAGGAAAAGAGGCAGGCCCUCAAAUGCAGCUAGUCCCAAGAAUGAGUGCAUCAAAAUUCGCCAGCGAGUUAGAUACAUUUUGAAUCGAAUGAACUACGAACAAAGUUUCAUUCAAGCAUACGCUGGUGAAGGUUGGAAAGGUCAAAGUUUGGAAAAAAUAAGACCUGAGAAGGAGCUUGAGCGAGCCAAGGCAGAAAUCUUGCGAUGCAAGUUAAGAAUUCGGGAAGCUUUUCGUAAUAUGGAUUCUCUUCUAUUGGAGGGGAAGCUUGACGAAUCUUUGUUUGAUUCUGAGGGAGAAAUAUCUAGUGAAGAUAUUUUCUGUGCCAUAUGUGCUUCAAAGCAUGUUACACUAAAAAAUGAUAUCAUUCUUUGCGAUGGAGUGUGUGAUAGAGGAUUCCACCAGAAAUGUUUGAAUCCUCCUUUGCUGGCAGAAGAUAUUCCUCAGGGGGAUGAAGGAUGGCUUUGCCCUGCGUGCGAUUGCAAGCUAGAUUGUAUUGAUUUACUAAAUGAACUCCAAGGGAGCACACUUGCUAUGCAUGACUCAUGGGAGAAAGUUUUUCCUGAGUCAACUUCAAAUGGCUUAAACCAAAUUGGAGCAUCUGAUCUUCCAUCCGAUGAUUCAGAGGAGGAUUAUGACCCUACUUUAGCUGAAGGGGACACGGUAGAUGAAAACAAAUCAUCUGCAGAGGAUGGGGACGAAGGAUCAGAUUCUGAUGACCUGGAUUUUAUUACAUCAUCCGAUGAGUCUGAACCUUCAAAGAAGAAAAGGUCUGAAUCAAAGAACAAAAAUACCGUCAAUGACCUUGCGUUGCCUUCGGAUGACUCAGAGGAUGAUGACUUUGAUCCAGAAGGUCCAAAUUCCAGUGAAGACCAAAAGACCAAAACAAACUCAGACGAGUCAGACUUCACAUCUGAUUCUGAUGAUUUCUGUGCUGAGAUUUCUAAAUCUUCUGGCAAGGAUAAAGUUUCGGCACCUUCAUUCUCAGACCAAACUAAUGGAGUGGACAUUAUGGAAGCAGAGCUAGAGCAAGACUCUGUGCUACCAGCUUCAAAUAGGCGACAAGUUGGACAUUUGGAUUACAAAAAGCUUUAUGAUGAGGCUUAUGGAAAAGAAACCACUGAUUCAAGCGAUGAAGAAGAGUGGUCUGGACAUAGCCCAAAUGGAAAUCCAGAAGACAGUGAUACAGAUUCAUUUGCUGGACCACUUAAGCCGGCAAAAACCAGAAGAGCACGAGGUGGGCGCCAGAACAAUGAGCGUACUCCACAGAGUGAACGGCACAGCGGUUCAGUAAGUGAACAGCAUCCUGAAGUGCUUUCCAAUGGCACCAGUAGCACGGCCAGGAAAAAAAGUUAUGGUCCUAUUGUUAAUCAGAAGCUCAAGGCAUAUUUCGAAAAAGAACCUUAUCCUAGUCGCCCAGCAAAAGAAAGUCUGGCACAAGAGCUUGGCCUGACAUUCCAUCAGAUCACUAGAUGGUUUUCUAGUACUCGUCAUUACUCAAGAGUUAGUGCUGCCAAAAAAGGGAAGCGUUUAGAAAACUAUACUGCUGAGAACAACGAUGGCAUUGCUGCGGAUAGCAUACAACAGAGAGAACCCAAUGGCAGUGUAUUGGGCAAACCAAAUGUAGAUAGAAACGGUAUUGUUUCGGAGGAAAGGAUGGCGCAAAAAAAUCUUGAUGAAGGUGAGAGAGAAGAUACUCCAUUCAGACAACAUAUCAGCUGUGAGCAGACACUAGAUGGGACUCCUCCUGCUAACAAACACAACACUGCCAACUCGAGGAAUGACACCUCGAGGAAUGCAGAAGAUACCCCACUCGGACAAGAUAUUGGCUGUGAGCAGACCGUGGCUGCUGUCAACCAAAACUGCACUAUCGGCUCGAGCAAUGUCGGCUCACCGAAAGGUGCGCCUGGAGGAAACAAGCGCCUUAAGAACUCUCCAAGGAGUGUUGGAAGCCCAAGACGUGGGUCUGCCGAGAAGAACAUUCCUGGGCUAGAACAUGUAGACGAGGCAAGGAGGAAGGCUAUACUGCGGGAGCUGAGGAAGAUGAAGGCCGCAGGCAGGUGA
Molecule: ribosomal RNA, 2466 nt
Filed under: Triticum aestivum (bread wheat)
Lineage: Eukaryota; Viridiplantae; Streptophyta; Magnoliopsida; Poales; Poaceae
Description: partial small subunit ribosomal RNA
Source: RNAcentral